This 2273-nucleotide ribosomal RNA is filed under the name Salmonella enterica subsp. enterica serovar Thompson. RNAcentral's name for it is "partial 23S ribosomal RNA". It matches the Rfam family "Bacterial large subunit ribosomal RNA", at positions 667 to 2915 of the family's 2925-position model. Lineage: Bacteria; Pseudomonadati; Pseudomonadota; Gammaproteobacteria; Enterobacterales; Enterobacteriaceae. The record is from RNAcentral.
CGGAGGGAAACCGAGUCUUAACCGGGCGUUAAGUUGCAGGGUAUAGACCCGAAACCCGGUGAUCUAGCCAUGGGCAGGUUGAAGGUUGGGUAACACUAACUGGAGGACCGAACCGACUAAUGUUGAAAAAUUAGCGGAUGACCUGUGGCUGGGGGUGAAAGGCCAAUCAAACCGGGAGAUAGCUGGUUCUCCCCGAAAGCUAUUUAGGUAGCGCCUCGUGAAUUCAUCUCCGGGGGUAGAGCACUGUUUCGGCUAGGGGGCCAUCCCGGCUUACCAACCCGAUGCAAACUGCGAAUACCGGAGAAUGUUAUCACGGGAGACACACGGCGGGUGCUAACGUCCGUCGUGAAGAGGGAAACAACCCAGACCGCCAGCUAAGGUCCCAAAGUCAUGGUUAAGUGGGAAACGAUGUGGGAAGGCCCAGACAGCCAGGAUGUUGGCUUAGAAGCAGCCAUCAUUUAAAGAAAGCGUAAUAGCUCACUGGUCGAGUCGGCCUGCGCGGAAGAUGUAACGGGGCUAAACCAUGCACCGAAGCUGCGGCAGCGACACUAUGUGUUGUUGGGUAGGGGAGCGUUCUGUAAGCCUGUGAAGGUGUGUCGUGAGGCAUGCUGGAGGUAUCAGAAGUGCGAAUGCUGACAUAAGUAACGAUAAAGCGGGUGAAAAGCCCGCUCGCCGGAAGACCAAGGGUUCCUGUCCAACGUUAAUCGGGGCAGGGUGAGUCGACCCCUAAGGCGAGGCCGAAAGGCGUAGUCGAUGGGAAACGGGUUAAUAUUCCCGUACUUGGUGUUACUGCGAAGGGGGGACGGAGAAGGCUAUGUUGGCCGGGCGACGGUUGUCCCGGUUUAAGCGUGUAGGUGUGUGUUCCAGGUAAAUCCGGUUCACUUUAACACUGAGGCGUGAUGACGAGGCACUACGGUGCUGAAGCAACAAAUGCCCUGCUUCCAGGAAAAGCCUCUAAGCAUCAGGUAACAUCAAAUCGUACCCCAAACCGACACAGGUGGUCAGGUAGAGAAUACCAAGGCGCUUGAGAGAACUCGGGUGAAGGAACUAGGCAAAAUGGUGCCGUAACUUCGGGAGAAGGCACGCUGACACGUAGGUGAAGUGAUUUACUCAUGGAGCUGAAGUCAGUCGAAGAUACCAGCUGGCUGCAACUGUUUAUUAAAAACACAGCACUGUGCAAACACGAAAGUGGACGUAUACGGUGUGACGCCUGCCCGGUGCCGGAAGGUUAAUUGAUGGGGUCAGCGCAAGCGAAGCUCCUGAUCGAAGCCCCGGUAAACGGCGGCCGUAACUAUAACGGUCCUAAGGUAGCGAAAUUCCUUGUCGGGUAAGUUCCGACCUGCACGAAUGGCGUAAUGAUGGCCAGGCUGUCUCCACCCGAGACUCAGUGAAAUUGAACUCGCUGUGAAGAUGCAGUGUACCCGCGGCAAGACGGAAAGACCCCGUGAACCUUUACUAUAGCUUGACACUGAACAUUGAGCCUUGAUGUGUAGGAUAGGUGGGAGGCUUUGAAGCGUGGACGCCAGUCUGCGUGGAGCCGACCUUGAAAUACCACCCUUUAAUGUUUGAUGUUCUAACGUGGACCCGUGAUCCGGGUUGCGGACAGUGUCUGGUGGGUAGUUUGACUGGGGCGGUCUCCUCCUAAAGAGUAACGGAGGAGCACGAAGGUUGGCUAAUCCUGGUCGGACAUCAGGAGGUUAGUGCAAUGGCAUAAGCCAGCUUGACUGCGAGCGUGACGGCGCGAGCAGGUGCGAAAGCAGGUCAUAGUGAUCCGGUGGUUCUGAAUGGAAGGGCCAUCGCUCAACGGAUAAAAGGUACUCCGGGGAUAACAGGCUGAUACCGCCCAAGAGUUCAUAUCGACGGCGGUGUUUGGCACCUCGAUGUCGGCUCAUCACAUCCUGGGGCUGAAGUAGGUCCCAAGGGUAUGGCUGUUCGCCAUUUAAAGUGGUACGCGAGCUGGGUUUAGAACGUCGUGAGACAGUUCGGUCCCUAUCUGCCGUGGGCGCUGGAGAACUGAGGGGGGCUGCUCCUAGUACGAGAGGACCGGAGUGGACGCAUCACUGGUGUUCGGGUUGUCAUGCCAAUGGCACUGCCCGGUAGCUAAAUGCGGAAGAGAUAAGUGCUGAAAGCAUCUAAGCACGAAACUUGCCCCGAGAUGAGUUCUCCCUGAGACUUAGAGUCUCCUGAAGGAACGUUGAAGACGACGACGUUGAUAGGCCGGGUGUGUAAGCGCAGCGAUGCGUUGAGCUAACCGGUACUAAUGAACCGUGAGG